RNAcentral lists this ribosomal RNA (492 nucleotides) under uncultured bacterium. Its description in RNAcentral is "partial 16S ribosomal RNA". It matches the Rfam family "Bacterial small subunit ribosomal RNA", at positions 28 to 507 of the family's 1533-position model. The record is from RNAcentral.
GAUGAACGCUAGCUACAGGCUUAACACAUGCAAGUCGAGGGGAAACGGCAUUGAGUGCUUGCACUCUUUGGACGUCGACCGGCGCACGGGUGAGUAACGCGUAUCCAACCUUCCCAUUACUGUGGGAUAACCUGCCGAAAGGCUGACUAAUACCGCAUAGUCUUCGAUGACGGCAUCAGAUUUGAAGUAAAGAUUUAUCGGUAAUGGAUGGGGAUGCGUCUGAUUAGCUUGUUGGCGGGGUAACGGCCCACCAAGGCUACGAUCAGUAGGGGUUCUGAGAGGAAGGUCCCCCACAUUGGAACUGAGACACGGUCCAAACUCCUACGGGAGGCAGCAGUGGGGAAUAUUGGCCAAUGGACGGAAGUCUGAACCAGCCAAGUAGCGUGCAGGAUGACGGCCCUAUGGGUUGUAAACUGCUUUUGUAUGGGGAUAAAGUUAGGGACGUGUCCCUAUUUGCAGGUACCAUACGAAUAAGGACCGGCUAAUUCCGUG